GGGCUGUUGGGACAACUAGAUAAACAUCAGUUCUUUUAAAAAGGAUAUCUUGAGAUGGAGAUGGAGAACAAACAAAUUACAAUGGGAAAUUCCUUAAAUAAAAAUUUAUUGACCUUAAAUUACACAUUCUUAAAAGAAAAACACCUUUUAAAGAAAAGUCAACAUGCAUUUUUGGCUCGAAGUUUCUCUAGUGUUUUCUGUGGAGGGAAUAAAUAAGAAUAAGUAGCAGUUCCUAUUGUGGUAUGCCCUUGAUAUUUAAUAGGAGGGAGGGGACUUGUUUACCUUAUGAAAUUCUUUUGCUCUUGCUCUGUUUAGGGCAUAAGCUUCUUGUUUUGCUUUCUCUAUCUUUUGCUGUUUCACUUCAGCUAAUUGAUUGUGUAGUCUGAAAGUAAUUUGUGUGGAAUUAAAUACCAAUAUUGAAGAAAAGUGAAUUACUAAAAAUAAAGCAAAGAAGCUACCUUAGAGCCCUUUGGUGCAUGAGGGCUUGUGCAGUCUUUCUUUCUUCAGUAAAACUCAUUUUAACUUUAUUCACUCCCUUAAGGUGACUCACAGAUGAACCUGAGAAAAGAGAAAUAGAGGCAAGAGUCUUAAACUCUUGAUAAGCACUGGGUUCAAUCUGUACCACCUCUGGAAAAAUAAGUGGGGAAUAAAAGAUAGCCUUAAAAAAAAAAUGUGUGCUUGUGUGGGAAGAGAGUCCAAAAUUAAGUUGAUCAUCUAGGAAGGUGGUUGAGGGCUAAAUUUAAAGACAACAUACCUGUGGCCUGUUUCUCCUUAACUGUUUUGAUUUGGGAAUUUUCAGUGACUUUAAUUUUAUUCCUUAUUUCUUUCUGCCUCUGGUAGGAUCUCUCCAAAAAUGAUUUUUUUCUCUUUAUAAAUGCUUCUUGUAAGCUUCCUGCCAUGACUGUACAUUUUGGAAGGGCUUCUGUUUUAAGAAAGAGUUGGGGCCACUGCAUUUAGGCCAAGUAUAUGCACUUUUUCUAUUUUGGCUAUAAAAGGUGUGAUCCCUACACUUACCAUUUCAGAUUCUCAAGACAUACCUGUAGAUUUUGUUGACUUCUGCAUAGAAAGCUCUGAGGUGGCUGGAUAAUCUGAACUUUCUGUUUCUGAUAGAAUAAAUUCAUUCACCUAAAGGCAUGAAAAUUCAGAUGAGUAACACCAAGUCAUGGUUAGAGCCACCAAAAUUAGAGCUCCUUUGUUUAGCCAAUCAACAUCUCUACAGUCUUAAGCCCUGGUUUCCUUUGGGCAUGAACAUCUUGAACAUGUUCUUUAUUAGUGUGGGGUAGUGAUGGAUGUCCACACCUUUGUUCCCACUCACACUUCUCUCAACACAGCCUCAGUUGUCUCAAUUGGUUUUAAGAAAGGUACUGAGGAUUAAAUUUAGGAAGACAGGGUUUUGGCUAUCCUCCUGCCUCGGUGUAAUAUUACAAUGCCUACCUUAUAUGGCAUUAUUCCUUUAGAUUUAUUUUACCAGCACACCAGAAAAUUCUAGCUUUUCCCAUCGGUUUCCUCAUGUCAUGUGUCCCCAGAAUGAGUUUACCUAGCUAAAAUGCUAGCUAAAAUUCUGGACACCUCAAAACUUUUGACUUCCAAGUCAAAUCUUAAUGUAUACCUGAAGGUAGCUUUUUGCCUCAUCCUCUCUCUUCUCUUCUAGAGUUAAGUUUGCAAAAUCAGUUUCAGCAAUGCUGAUAUCACUGGUGCUUACUAACGUAAGCUCUGGUUCUUCCAUUAUACCAUGACCAGAUUCUGUCUCCUGGUAAAACAAAUAGGAAGUCAUAAAAAUAGCCUUUGUUCAAAAUACACAAUGUGGAAUCUGAAUCUUAUGUGUAAAUAAAUGCAAAAAAUAGUGCACUCUAGAGGAAUAUCAGUAGAUUAUAGAUUCCCCCCGGAUUCCCACUCCUACACCACAGUAUAUUAAAAAUUCAUUCACCUAAAAGCAUGAAAAUUCAGAUGAGUAACACUAAGUCAUGAGUAACACAGUAUAUUAAAAAUAUUAAGAGUGGACUUUGGUAUGGGGUGAAAUAGUAUGGUAACCAUACUGCAGGGAUUACUAAUCUAAACGAUAACAUGGCUACACAGAUUAGGGACUGAAAGAACUGGAGGGCACAUACUAAAUGUAGCAGUGGCUAUUGACCUCCAGCCAAAUGUGGGCCACAGGACCAGAUUAUAUUCCAAAAGAAAUAACUUUAGUUUUAUACAAUGAAGAAUGUAGAGGAGGAACAAAAAGCAGUCAACUAAAACACCUCUGUGGUCUAGAUAAAGCUCUUAUUUUCAACCUUUAUCAGUUUACCUGUAGAAUGUUUAGCUGCACAAAAAGUAAAAACAAUGUCUUGUUAAUGAGUUGAAGCCAAGCAGAUCAUAAUUUGCUUAAUACGAUCGUUCUAACACUGAUUCCAACAAUAUUCAGUGCAGUGCAAUGAAGUUCAACAUAGGCUAAACCACCAUUUCUCAAGGAAACUAGAAAAAGACUAUCUGAAUAGAGAAGAUCUCUAGUAAAAUUCUUAGAGAUAAGCUUUCAAAAUUUGGAAAUUUUCUCAUUUCAUCACAAAUAUUAAGAUGUAACUUUGUUGCUUCUUUUACAUUGAAAAGUUUUUCCACAGAUUUCACUUACCCAGAUUGGAAUAGAACUCUGUAAUGCAAACGAUCCAGAACUUUUAAAGGACUCUAAUUGUGUUGUUUGAGAUAGGCUCAUGACUUCUAGAGUUUCAGUUUUAGUUGAAUCCUCAAAAUAUUUUUCAUUUUGAAUACUGAAUGAAUGUGGCGGCUGAACUGAAGUUCCCAUCUCCACUGUUCUUACACACAAUUGAGAAUCAAUUUCUUCAUGUGGAUCUGUAGCUAAAACUCCACAGGUUUCAUUUUCACCUUCAGUAAGUUCUUGACUGGGUAACAUUAUAAGGGCUUCUUUUUUUGAUAGUUCUUUAAAGUCCCAUCUUUCUUUUCUGCUUUCUUGUUGUUUUAUUGAGUACUCACUAGAGGAAGAACUACAUGGAGUACUAUGCUGUACUUGUAACUGAUGAAAUACAUUAGCCUCAUCAGAUGAACUGUAGGUAGAAUUUAAAUUUCCUCUGGGAAGCUGGAAAUGAACACCUUUUUUCUUAUUUUGUAAUAUUUCAGUCUGAUUUUUCAUGCCUUGGGAAGUAUCUCUUGCCUCAAUGCUAAAAAUACUCGGUAGGUCAGCAUGCUGGCUCCCCUCCUGUGAAGAGAAUUCUGGCAGAAGCUGUUGAAAAGAUUGUUCAGAUCCUGCAUUAAAAAAAAAGAAGAAGAAAUCAGUCUUAUGUGUUAUAAACUUGAAUCUCUCUCAUAGUUCGAGUAAACUGCAAGUUGUUAAUUCCCACAGUUUUAAGAGUGAAAACUGAUGUGUAAAAACAUGACUAGAAAAAUAAAGAUGGUCACAGUGA
Long non-coding RNA from Sciurus carolinensis (gray squirrel), 3395 nucleotides. RefSeq lists it as uncharacterized. The record is from RefSeq and is a predicted model, not a curated record. The transcript is spliced from 2 exons. Lineage: Eukaryota; Metazoa; Chordata; Mammalia; Rodentia; Sciuridae.